AAAUCCACACUCAAAUAUAGAUCCUGUGACUUCCCAACAGCCACACAAAAUGUGGACAUCAGUAAAUAUAGAAACGUACAAGUGGUCAAAGCACUGAGAAUAAGCAUCAGUGGACUGCCAAGCUACAAUUGAGAUGCCUCAAAAAUUUCCCAUCCAGCGACCAUGUUGGAAGAGGGGUGGAAUAAUUGUUACAAACCAGAGGCCAUGAAGACCAGAAUGGAGCAAUGUUUUCUAGCCACGACAAGACUGCUGCACUCAUGAGCAGCCUGUCCAUGAACUGCCCAAGAUCAAGCCAGGGAAGCACAUUAUUUCUAACAGCUGGAAGAUGGCUUGGGGACUUAAGAUACUUUGGAGCUUUGUCAGUGCGCUUGGCAUGAAACUGGAUGAGUUGAUGCAGAAGUUUGCUGAAUGAGGAUUCAAAGAUCACAAAACAAGAAAAUGGCAGCCACCCCUCCCGUGCAAUUCAUGGUAGCGUGUGCAACGGGGAUGGGAAGAUAUCUUUCAAUCAGAGAAGAGAAAGCGCCAUCUCCACCCAACUGUGCUGUGACUAGAGUGCAUUAAGAGGCACAAACAGCCUUUGAGCCUUUCCUUACAGAUUUUCACAGACAACUUCAAUCCAAAUAAGGUCCUUGCUCCACUGGAGGGGUCUUUUAAAAUUGUUUUCCUCUCCUGGAAGACAGAUUCAAUUAAAGUUGUCUGGCAGUGAAAAACCAGUGUAUUUCAAACAUGCAGAUGAAGAUUCUCCCCCAGUGAAAAAAUCGUACUCUCCUUUUUGGCUUCAAUCAGUGCUUUGUUUUCACAGUUUUUUUCAUCCUAACUUCACACUUCGGCCACAUUUCAGUGCUUCUGUGACCACCACCUAUUUCCCGUUAUUGUGUUUCUUAUUGCAGGCUGCCCUUCUUAGAACUCUUAUCUUUCCAUCAUGGUUUUUGGUCCUUUUAGUUGAUAUGACUUUGCCAGAGGCAGGGAAAACUGAAUGGAUAGUUUCUAUCUGAAUGGGAACCACACAAUAAUCUAUUAAAAUAAGUGAUAAAUGUCCAAGGUGCUUACCACUGUGGUUGUAGAUUUGUUGUUGCUGUUUUUAACUGUAAGCCAGAAUGGAGCUUUCUGGAUUUUAAGGCUUUUAUUUUUUCCUUCCAACUCUUUUUCUUUUCUUCUUCCUUUUAAACUAAGGGUAGACCUUGAUGUGUUGACACAUCUCUUUUACAUUGUUUUUGGCUAAAACCAGAAACAAAUUAUGUUGAAAAAUAUUGUGAGAACAUCUCUUCUUCUAAGAUUUCUAGCCCAAUAUAGUAAACUCCAGAGGUUUGGAGUGUUGAAAUAAGACUUAAGAAAACAUCCAGUGUUUUAGAUUAUCUGUUUAACCAAAUCCCAGUGCUGAACUGCUAGAGGUUUUCUUAUCUAGAAAGAACUAAAUCUAUAUUACAGAGUGACUUGAAGGAGUAGCCAAGCCAGUUACUACCUACAUGGGCUGGAGUCCUAAGCCCCAUGAUUAUGCUUUAGCACAUGGCUAUGUGCAUUUCUCAGACCAGCAAUUAUUUUGCAGAAUUCUUUUCUCAAGCAUGAUUAAAAUAUGAAACUUUGAGGACUAGAGAGGUGGCUCAGAGGUUGACAAUACUUGCUGUUCUGAGGACCCA
This is a long non-coding RNA of Nannospalax galili (Upper Galilee mountains blind mole rat), 1637 nucleotides long. RefSeq lists it as uncharacterized. The record is from RefSeq and is a predicted model, not a curated record. The transcript is spliced from 6 exons. NCBI's taxonomy places the organism in Eukaryota, Metazoa, Chordata, Mammalia, Rodentia, Spalacidae.